This is a long non-coding RNA of Leopardus geoffroyi (Geoffroy's cat), 893 nucleotides long. RefSeq lists it as uncharacterized. The transcript is spliced from 4 exons. Lineage: Eukaryota; Metazoa; Chordata; Mammalia; Carnivora; Felidae. The record is from RefSeq and is a predicted model, not a curated record.
UGUAUGGCUUAUCAGGGAACUGAAAAAUUGGGCUAAAUGGACACAUUUCUAGAGUGUGAACUGCACAGCAGGUGAUCUCUGAAGCAGACAGCCAGCAGAGUGGCCUUUUUACUCCAGAUCUCUCCCCUGUAUGGCUAGGAAAAAAAAAGAGAGAAACCUAAACACUGAAUAGAGCAAAUGGAUUUCUGAACCACGUGUCUCUUGCAGCAGAUGUGGAAAUUGAGGCCAGUGAGAUGAAAUAACUUAUCCAAGGCCACCCAGCAAAUGAAGAGUGGAAUGAGGAUGUGCACUUAGAAUCCCUGCUCUAAGUGUCAACACCCUUCCUCACCAUGUUGUGGUUUGCCGAUUGGAUAAGGAAGACUUCCAAGGCCCCUUCUGUGGCCUCUCCUGUCCACAGUCUGCACCUGUCCUCUCAUUUGUGGUGAAACAGAGAAGUGUGUCUAACACAAAGUGAACAGGAAAUAAAGUGUUUUUAUGCACAGAGAAUGCAACUGCUGUCCAAAGUCAGUUAAUUAAAAAACAUCAAUCUAUGCAAACAUGAAGAAAUGGUCCAGCGGGAAAUUGGACCAAUUUGGAAUUUGGUAAAGUCUACUUAUUUUCAACGUGUCUCUAAAUUUGGGGAAAACAUCUUGGUUGAAUGUUUACAUAAUCAUGUGAUGGGAUAUUUCUUUAAAAAUAUUGUCAUUAUCCCCAAGCUAAGUAUUUAUUCUUUUGUUUAGAAUUUACAUAAGGUAGUAACCUAUGCUUUGGAAAUCACACUAGAGGGGCUCCAGUUCUUUUCUGCAUCUAAACUCAAUAUGGAUGAAUCUUGGAUUACUAUGGUAUUUUACUUUUCGGAUUAACAUGGUGAAAAAAAAUUUAAUAGCAAAGAGCAAAGGUAAGCUCUAAGAGAA